AAUUGAGGCAAAGAUUGAAAUGGUUUGGACAUGUGAGAAGGGCAGAGGGGGGCGUGUUGAAUGAGGUGGAGUUGAGAGUUGAGGACCUUUCUGUCAAAUUGAGGCAAAGAAGAUUGAGAUGGUUUGGACAUGUGAGGAGGGCAGAGGGGGGCGUGUUGAAUCGGGUGGAGGAGUUGAGAGUUGACGACCUUUCUGUCAAAUUGAGGCAGAGAAGAUUGAGAUGGUUUGGACAUGUGAGAAGGGCAGAGGGGGGCGUGUUGAAUGAGAUGGAGUUGAGAGUUGAGGACCUUUCUGUCAAAUUGAGGCAGAGAAGAUUGAGAUGGUUUGGACAUGUGAGAAGGGCAGAGGGGGGCGUGUUGAAUGAGGUGGAGGGGCUGAGAGUUGAGGGAAGGCCUAGGAAAAAGUGGAUCAGAUGUGUGGUGGAGGAUAGGAAUGUAUUGGGAAUAGAGGAAUACAUGGCACAAGAUUGACGGAUGUGGAGGAGUCAUCGCUGUCAAGUCUAGUCAGUCAAGUUCCUCAGUGUGGUGUCUAGCAUUGACGCUGCCCAGACAAGUGUUCCCUGUGUGUGUUUACAGUAAGAGGAGGAGGAGGAGGAGGAAGAGGAGGAGGAGGAGGACGAGGAGGAAAAUAAAUCUAACAUGCAUUAUAUCCCAAACCAUGGAGAUGUAUUAACU
Long non-coding RNA from Eriocheir sinensis (Chinese mitten crab), 674 nucleotides. RefSeq lists it as uncharacterized. The transcript is spliced from 3 exons. The record is from RefSeq and is a predicted model, not a curated record. NCBI's taxonomy places the organism in Eukaryota, Metazoa, Arthropoda, Malacostraca, Decapoda, Varunidae.